CCGAGUUUUCAACUCCCAAACCCCUGUGAACAUACCUAUCGUUGCCUCGGCGGGAGAGCCCCGGGCGUUGGUGAAAGCCUUCGCACCGGUACCAGGCGCCCGCCGGAGGACCCAAACAAACUCUUGUAUUCUAAAGAAUCUUCUGAGUAACCAUAAGUUAAUAAAUUA
RNAcentral lists this unclassified non-coding RNA (168 nucleotides) under uncultured Volutella. RNAcentral's name for it is "sequence contains ITS1". Lineage: Eukaryota; Fungi; Ascomycota; Sordariomycetes; Hypocreales; Nectriaceae. The record is from RNAcentral.